Molecule: small RNA, 3198 nt
Filed under: Pan troglodytes (chimpanzee)
Lineage: Eukaryota; Metazoa; Chordata; Mammalia; Primates; Hominidae
Description: retained intron
Source: RNAcentral
AAGAGCGUGCCGGGAGCCCGAGCCCCAGCCGGGCCGCGCUUCGCCGCUGCGCACCCCAGCGGAGCCAAGCCCCACGCUGGCCGGACAGGGCCGCCUGUCGCCGGGCUGCUGAGAAUUAGCCCUAGACCUCUGCGUGAGGGUUCUUCUGCCGAAGACAUCACCAGUGUGUGGAGCCUGCCACACCCACCCGCUGCCAAACCACGGCCUUUACCUGUGUCUUCCGGUGUUUCCCGUGCGACCCAUCCUGUGGGAGUGCCUCGUGGGCUGCCCCAGAGUUCACCCCACACUCAGCAGCACCAAUGGUGAAGAUGACAAGAUCGAAGACUUUCCAGGCAUAUCUGCCCUCCUGCCACCGGACCUACAGCUGCAUUCACUGCAGAGCUCACUUGGCCAAUCAUGAUGAACUAAUUUCCAAGGUACACAUUUCCAGCAGGCCUUCCUUGCCUACCCCGGGGAGGGCGCUUAGUGCUCCUGAAGUUGCAGAGGUUUACAAGCUCUCAAGAAUAUUUGUACUCCAUCUUUGUACAGGGAGGGCUGACCCACGUGACCGUCUCACUCAACUGAGAAAAACUCUGAGUUGGAGGGACAGAGUAGUCAUUUAAUUUGUUAUUUUGGAAAUGAGGUGUCAUCCUUGUUGGAGGCUUUGGGAGCUGGCGGCUUGCAAGCCAGAGAAGGGAGGGGCUGGGGAUUGAUGGGAGCCUUGUUCUCAGCUUGCUUGGUUUAGGUUGGCGGACGAAGAGUGAAGAAUGCUCCCUGCUCAGAAGGUGAAUUCUAAGAAAGCAGGGGAAUGUCUUGUAAGAGGGGUUCCUUAGCAAGAUGAGAGAGCCACCAGGAAGUUGUGAGACUGUGGAAUUACUAAAAUGGGUGGCUUUUGGCAGGGACCAAAAGUGGCUUGUUGAAGAGCUGACCUUCUGGCCUGUGGGGGCCGUUAGGGCUUAUACAUGAGGUAAUAUGGCAUGACAUUUGAUCAUGAUCAGAAGAAUGGAACCCUGUUUUUCCUGAGGUGCUUAGGCAGCUGCUUUCUAAAGUUGGGGCUGGGGGAUUAUUAAUAAGUAAAUAAACCAACAUGCCAGUUGUGCAGUUCAGGAAAUGGAUCCUUCAGGGAGCGUUCUCAGGGGAACUGCUUCCCUCCUGGCCCUAGAUUCCCAGGGGAAGAGAAACAGGUUUUACUAGGCUGCAUGACAAAGAGAAAGAGAUAAUGGGAGACUUUUCCCUUACAAAAGCAUCUUUACCCAGAACCUGGACUUCACGCCAUUAAAGUAAAAAAAAAAAAAAAACAACCCAUCUUUACGCAGACCCAGACGAAGUUUUUUGUUUUGUUUUUAAAUGUGUUCCUCAUCUGUUUACAAGACCUGCUGGAAAAGGUGGCUGUUGCUUUCUUUGCCUCUGGUUUGGUAGCCCCAGCCAGAGAGGAAUGAAGGAUCUAGUCAGCUCUUAUAGAACAGUCCUCUCCAGCUGGCUGAUUUGACCUAGGAGGUGAAGAAAGCUGCCCAAACAAACACAUCUGUAGUAGUGAGGCUUUUCAAAUCGGGCCUGAGGACCGAACCUCUUGUUCUAGCCUUACUCCAGGGUCUAAGGUGACCACAGAGCUUGAAGCGUACAGCCCCUUAGAGUCCUAUCCUCUGGCCAGACUUGUGAAUCUGCCCCACUUUCCUUUCUUUAUGGUUCUGCUAAUUCCUCUCCUUUAUGCUGCUUAUGUUUCAGCCAGCCUUUAGCUUCCUUCUCAGCUUCACUUCGAAUUUUGGGGAACCCCUUGAGUCUGGAAGUUUGAAUGUGUGGAGGUGUCAGUGAGAGAAGAGAGGAGUUGGUCUCUUGGACGUUGGAAUUGGGUUUGCAAAGUUGUAGGGGAAUUGUGAGUUGUCCUUUUUUUUUUUUUUUUUUCCCCCUUUGGAAAUCUCCAGAGAAAUUAUUUGCCUGUAUCUACUGGGGAAGCCAAGGCAUCAUUUUUUUAAUACAAGGAAGCAGUGCUAUGUAUCAUAAGAAAUUGAGGUACCAAUAAGGUUUUAGCACCCUCUAUGUACUAAAAACUGCAACUUGACACUUUAUCAAUGUUAACUUAACCUUCAUAUGAAGUCUUUAAGGUAGCUGACAUGAGUCAUACUUUAUGCGGAUGAAGAAGCUGAAACUCAUAAAACUUGUCCAAGAUGUCAAAUCAGAGGUUCAGAGAAGAGUGAUUACUUUGAGUGGGUGUUCAGGAGGGAUUGCUGGAGGAGAUGGUUCUUUGAUCUGGGCCUUGUAAGAUGGGCAGAAGUUGAGUAUGUGGAGAUGGUAAUGGCCUUCAGAAUUUAUGUCUUAUCUCUUUGGCCUGGCAUACAAGGCCUUUGACAAUUUGGCAGAGUCUGGCUUUUUUGUUAGGUCUCCAGCCAGCUCUUCACUUUGUUUCAGCCACUCAGAACCAAGCCACAUCGCCUGAAUAUGCAGGUAUGGGUGUUUCAGGGCUCUGUGCCUUAGCCAAGAGUGUCCGUUCUCCUUCACCUCCCUCCUCCUACACCUCCCUCCUCUUUCUCCUGAGCUCUUUCUUAUACGUCCUUGGGCAUGGCCUAUAUCUGCUUUACAUCUCGGGGUCAGAACCUGACCCAUGGCAAGAGCUCAGUAAAUGAUAAAUGAAUAGAUGGAGGUUGAGCCUUGGAGAAGACAAGUAAUGAGAAAAAAAAUACUUUGUUGGCCUCAUGUCCUUCCUGUCCCUUUUGGGGCAGAAAGGCUCAUUCACAAGUCCAGGCCAAAGUCAGCACAGGCUUCAGUUUCAUUGGCUCAGGCCGGUACACAGAUGGGGUGCAUUAGAGCUUGAUGAUUUAAAGGGUUGGGUGAAAUGCCUGACUGUGGGGAGAGCUGAGGGAGCUGUGGCUGGCAUUGCACAAAGCUUCCUUUAUUUCACUCCACAGCCACCCCCGGCGUUAAAUAAUCUAUAGAUUCUUAUGCAGGUCUGCCUAAUGGAAAGAUCAUUGCCCCAGCCUCCUCCUUGGAAAAUAGGCCUUUCUUUUCAUUUUUCCCCCCCUCUUCCAUUUAAGAAAGUUCAAGGAGAGAAUGUCUCUCCUGUUCUCCUCUCUUGACUUAAUCUCCUAUGCAGUUUCAGAAUCUGCCCAGUGGGAGUUAGGAGCUGGGAAGCAGAUAACUGGAGCUGGAUCAGCAGUGUAAUUAAAUGAUACUUUGUACUGGUAAUAGGGCCUUUCAUCUGAAAGCUUGACAUUCGUUUGGUGC